GGCAGCUUGCUCUCCGGGUGACGAGUGGCGGACGGGUGAGUAAUGUCUGGGAAACUGCCCGGUGGAGGGGGAUAACUACUGGAAACGGUAGCUAAUACCGCAUAACGUCUUCGGACCAAAGUGGGGGAUCUUCGGACCUCACGCCACCGGAUGUGCCCAGAUGGGAUUAGCUAGUAGGUGGGGUAACGGCUCACCUAGGCGACGAUCCCUAGCUGGUCUGAGAGGAUGACCAGCCACACUGGAACUGAGACACGGUCCAGACUCCUACGGGAGGCAGCAGUGGGGAAUAUUGCACAAUGGGCGCAAGCCUGAUGCAGCCAUGCCGCGUGUAUGAAGAAGGCCUUCGGGUUGUAAAGUACUUUCAGCGGGGAGGAAGGCGGUGAGGUUAAUAACCUCGCCGAUUGACGUUACCCGCAGAAGAAGCACCGGCUAACUCCGUGCCAGCAGCCGCGGUAAUACGGAGGGUGCAAGCGUUAAUCGGAAUUACUGGGCGUAAAGCGCACGCAGGCGGGUCUGUUAAGUCAGAUGUGAAAUCCCCGGGCUUAAACCUGGGAACUGCAUUUGAAACUGGCAGGCUUGAG
Molecule: ribosomal RNA, 581 nt
Filed under: Pantoea eucrina
Lineage: Bacteria; Pseudomonadati; Pseudomonadota; Gammaproteobacteria; Enterobacterales; Erwiniaceae
Description: bacterial SSU rRNA
Rfam family: Bacterial small subunit ribosomal RNA
Source: RNAcentral